This 244-nucleotide long non-coding RNA is filed under the name Marmota monax (woodchuck). Lineage: Eukaryota; Metazoa; Chordata; Mammalia; Rodentia; Sciuridae. The record is from RNAcentral.
AAGGAAGAAAAUAAUAAAGAGUAUUAAUAAAGGCAGUUUAAGUCAGGAAACCCACUGACUUUGAGCUGGAGGAUGGAGAAGACUUGUUCACCAGCACUGUCUCCCUGCUAGAGUCAAGCCCAUCAUCUCCAAAACCAGCUAGUCUUCCUGCAGAAGAUAUUAGGGUAAACUCCAACAGCCCAAAACCUGAAGAAGUUAUACUAGAUGAUGACAGAGAAGAUCUUUUUUUUUUUUUUUUUAAAAA